CUCCCCUCCAUACAAAUGCCGGACGCCCCCCUCUCUCAAACCGAUGCCGCCCACGGGUUCUUGCGUUCUCUGAACCUGGGGGAAAGGAGAGAGAGCGUGCCCGGAUUCUCAGUUUUGCGGCGGCUGGUCGGAGCAUCGCUGGUAUUGCCGACUGCCGAGCUGCUACGCACAAGUUGCGGAGCUCUUCUACAAGAAGAGGCCGGAGGUCGGAGGUACCUCGGCGCGCCCGGGUCCAAGAAGUGGAUACUCGCCAUGGACGGCGGCGAGAGGCCGGCGGCGGCCCAGAAGAGACCCUUCCCCCCGGACGGCGAGCUCGUGGAGCUGCUGUGGCAGGACGGCGCCGUCGUGGCGCACUCGCAGGCGCAGCGGGCCUUCGCCGGCGCCGGCAACACUGGGGCCAGCGGCGUCACCGGGGAGGCUGCGGCGGCGGCGUGGCUCCCGGGCGGCGGCGCGCUGGGUGGGGACGUGUACUCGCAGCUCUGGCAGAGCAUCGCGCUAGCGCAGGCCGACGGGCGCGUGGGCGCGCCCGCCCGGGCCCGGCCUCCCGCCCAGAGCGGGAACAGCGCCGCCGGGUCGAGCCGGACUGCCGGCGAGGUCGGGUCCAGCUUCUGCGGCAGCAACCUCGUGGCGGCGGCGCGGCACCUGGACGACGCCAUCGACGACGUCGCGGCGUUGCCGCCGCAGCCGCCGGACGAGCCGGGCGCGUCCACGUCGAGCGGCUGGAACAGCAAUGCGCUGCUCAAGAGGAGCAGGGACGACUGCGAUGGCCGCAGCGAGGACGCCGACUUCGACACCGUCGACGAGACACCGCCGUCGAGGCGGCCGGCGUCCAAGCGCAGGACGCGCGCCGCCGAAGUCCACAACAUGUCGGAGAGGAGGAGAAGGGACCGGAUCAACGAGAAGAUGCGAGCUUUGCAAGAACUGGUGCCCCACUGCAACAAGACCGACAAAGCAUCGAUACUAGAUGAGGCAAUUGAGUACUUGAAGUCCCUCCAAAUGCAAGUUCAGAUCAUGUGGAUGAGUACUGGGAUGGCGCCCAUGAUGCUCCCAGGUGCUCACCAACUCAUGCCUCCAAUGAGCAUGGGCUUGAAUUCAACCUGUAUGCCACCGGCGGCGCAAUUCCUCAGUCACGUUCAAACAGUACCACCCUUCCUCAGUAACCCGUUGCCGAAUCAGAUUCCUCAGAUCUCACCUGCAUUUACCAGUGCACCCAAUGUAACAAACCAAGUUCAAAGCAACCGCGUGGCCCAGCCGAGAAAUCCAUUUCUUCAUCCUAAUGAUGCAUUGACAUCAACACCUCAGUUGCCAAGUUUAUUUGGCUAUGGACCACAGAUGGCACAAGAGAACGAGAUUCAAGAGUUACUGGCUUGCACUGCUGCUCCAGCUUUGGAUGCCGAGCCGCCGUCGUCCUCUGACGGAACAGGAACGUAACACCACCACAGUCCAGUAGUAUGUUUUACAGGUCAGUGCUCAGUUUUCGCUAUGGGUAAAUUGAAAUCAGAUGGAUGUGUACAAAAAUGAUAAUUGCAUCGCAUGGUCACGGUAUCAUCCUUGUUAGCAGUUUAGCUUAACUUAUUAUCACAUCCUAAGUUUGAGCAUAUCAAAUUGUCAUCACUUGAUCUUUUAGAGGAAACAUUGUCAUCAUGAUCUGAUACCAGCAUCGGAUAGAUCAGUUUUGACAUUUAGUUCUUCUUUGGCCAUUUGCAGUCCUAUUGUCUCACUAGAUGCCUAGAUGAACUAGGAUGUGGCAGUUGUACAUCCAUUUCACUCAGUCGCUGUUACAUUCAAUGGACUGUUCUGUCAAAUUAGCGGAAACAAGUGGACUAGUUUGCAGACAAAUCGGUUCGGCAUUUACUUUCUUGACACUGAAAGGAUGAGGAGAGCAACAAGGACUUGCAUCAGGGCAGCACAUACUAGCAUCUGAGUUAGAACCUUUAUUUCACUCUGUAUGUAUCAACAACCAACAUUCGCUUAGCUUUAUCUCUGAAAGAAUUCAUGAAGUAGAUUUGCGUAUUUAGCUGAUAUUAGAUAAGGCUUGAUCAUAUGAUAUUUGAGAUCUGAUAACAUUCCAUGUUCUAUAUAUAUAUAUAUAUUCUUUUUCCGGGUUGACCAUGCAAACAUAAUAUCAGAUGUCGGGAAAACUAACACGUCUGCCACAUCCUAGCACGGCUGGAAAUAGAAUAUCUCUCAGCUUAUAAAAUGGCUUGCAUUCCCUAGAACUAUAUGCAAUGUAUAGAAUAUUAGUGAGAAAAACAAUGUUUUGUUGUUUCCUUUUCUGAUCACCUUUGACACGCUUCAGCAGCUAGGGGGUAUGAACAGAAAGUCAGAACAAGUGGUCCUACAAGAAUCAAUUGGAUACUAACAUGCAGUGUGCUGUAAGGCCAUGGGCAGAUCAUGCAACCUUGAGAUUUUUGGGAACCUCUGAGCAGCCAACACGUUUGCGGAGGCACUGUGCUAACACGAUCUGAUUCUUAUCUCAAGAAUAGUAUUGAAGACUUGAACAUCACCUUUCUGUUUCUGGAACGAUUUCGUCUACAGGAGACGAACUUGGCAAAGCCAUCAGGAGAUGAGCUCCUGCUGAUGCUUUGGACAUGGAGGUGACAUGCUGGAUUAGGAGCAUCUCACAAGCACAAGGAUAUAAGCAGUCCUGGUUUCCCUCCUCUUUUUGCUGAUGUUACACCACUGUUACAUUAUCACAGAUGAGACUCUGCAUCUGGUGAGUUCAGUUCUUGUGGGUCUGUCUCUUCCAGCUUUACUUGAGCUACUGAUUCUUCAACUGGGCGGCCUCAAGGAACAUGAUAAUGUUUGCACGGGGACACUUGUUGAGAUUGAAACAAAACAGCAUCAUGCCAGAUUCGUACAUGAAGCACAUCAUCAACAUUAUUGGCAUUCGGACAUGCGCAAAUAUCGCACGAAUUCUGCGCAUGAACCGAUGUCUGCCACAUCUAUAUGGAUCUCGCGGGACUAGUCGAUCCGUCGCAGUUGCUUUCGUACCUUACAUGUAAUGAUACACGUUUCUUUGUCCUAAGUUAAUAGGGCAGUGACUGGUCAGUCCAUCUGGUUUGCAUAUCAUCUGUGGAAUUGUGCGUCCAUCACAGUCCCUGUCGGUUGAGAUUGGAACUUGGUUUUUGCACUUAUAGGUUGGGAUUUGGUUCUCAUGUUCAAUCAGGUUGCGUA
This is an RNA transcript of Panicum virgatum (switchgrass), 3177 nucleotides long. It is a transcript of the gene named transcription factor PHYTOCHROME INTERACTING FACTOR-LIKE 13-like, with no coding region annotated. Lineage: Eukaryota; Viridiplantae; Streptophyta; Magnoliopsida; Poales; Poaceae. The record is from RefSeq and is a predicted model, not a curated record. The transcript is spliced from 9 exons.